UACGAAGGGUGCAAACGUUGCUCGGAAUUAUUGGGCGUAAAGCGCACGUAGGCGGCAUUGCGAGUCGGAUGUGAAAUCUUAUGGCUUAACCAUAAAAGUGCAUCCGAAACUGCAGUGCUUGAGUACUUAAGAGGAUCGCGGAAUUCCCGGUGUAGAGGUGAAAUUCGUAGAUAUCGGGAGGAACACCAGUGGCGAAGGCGGCGAUCUGGGAAGAUACUGACGCUGAGGUGCGAAAGCGUGGGGAGCAAACAGG
RNAcentral lists this ribosomal RNA (253 nucleotides) under uncultured bacterium. RNAcentral describes it as "partial 16S ribosomal RNA". It matches the Rfam family "Bacterial small subunit ribosomal RNA", at positions 524 to 776 of the family's 1533-position model. The record is from RNAcentral.